This 440-nucleotide ribosomal RNA is filed under the name uncultured bacterium. Its description in RNAcentral is "partial 16S ribosomal RNA". It matches the Rfam family "Bacterial small subunit ribosomal RNA", at positions 338 to 795 of the family's 1533-position model. The record is from RNAcentral.
CCUACGGGGUGCAGCAGUGGGGAAUAUUGCACAAUGGGGGGAACCCUGAUGCAGCGACGUCGCGUGGGUGAUGAAGUACUUCGGUAUGUAAAGCCCUAUCAGCAGGGAAGAAAAUGACGGUACCUGACUAAGAAGCCCCGGCUAACUACGUGCCAGCAGCCGCGGUAAUACGUAGGGGGCAAGCGUUAUCCGGAUUAACUGGGGGUAAAGGGAGCGUAGACGGGGUGCCAAGUCUGGUGUGAAAGGCCGGGGCUCAACCCCGGGACUGCAUUGGAAACUGGAAUGCUGGAGUGCCGAAGGGGCAAGCGGAAUUCCUAGUGUAGCGGUGAAAUGCGUAGAUAUUAGGAGGAACACCGGUGGCGAAGGCGACUUGCUGGACGGUAACUGACGUUGAGGCUCGAAAGCGUGGGGAGUAAACAGGAUUAGAUACCCGGGUAGUC